GCAGGAGGAAUGGACAAGAUCCUUGGAGUAUCAGUUCUAAUUCUAGGACUUCAUCUAGCACGGGUGAGCAGCCAGCAGAAGGAGAAAAGUGACCAGCAACAGGUGAAACAAAAUCCUCAGUUUCUGACAGUCCAGGAAAGAGAGAUUUCAAUUCUGAACUGUACAUAUGAGAACAGUGCAUUUGACUACUUCCCAUGGUACCGGCAACUCCCUGGUAAAGGUCUUGAAUUAUUGACAUAUGUACGAUCAGUUAUGAAUGAAAAGGAAGAUGGAAAAUUCAAAGUUUUCUUCAGUAAAAGUUCCAAAGAGCUCUCCUUGCAUAUCAGGGAUUCUCAGCCUGGAGACUCAGCCACCUACUUCUGUGCAGCGAGCACACAGUGCUCUCCAGGCAUGCAGCCUGCUCCAUGGUACCGGCAACUCCCUGGUAAAGGUCUUGAAUUAUUGACAUAUGUACGAUCAGUUAUGAAUGAAAAGGAAGAUGGAAAAUUCAAAGUUUUCUUCAGUAAAAGUUCCAAAGAGCUCUCCUUGCAUAUCAGGGAUUCUCAGCCUGGAGACUCAGCCACCUACUUCUGUGCAGCGAGCACACAGUGCUCUCCAGGCACCUGCAGCCUGCGACCAAACCUGCCCUAG
Fukomys damarensis (Damara mole-rat) is the source of this 630-nucleotide non-coding RNA. The record is from the annotation of a RefSeq genome assembly. Lineage: Eukaryota; Metazoa; Chordata; Mammalia; Rodentia; Bathyergidae.